Molecule: transfer RNA, 51 nt
Filed under: Enterobacteria phage T4T
Lineage: Duplodnaviria; Heunggongvirae; Uroviricota; Caudoviricetes; Pantevenvirales; Straboviridae
Description: tRNA-Arg
Source: RNAcentral
GUCCCGCUGGUGUAAUGGAUAGCAUACGAUCCUUCUAAGUUUGCGGUCCUG